This is a long non-coding RNA of Brachypodium distachyon (stiff brome), 2249 nucleotides long. RefSeq lists it as uncharacterized. The record is from RefSeq and is a predicted model, not a curated record. Lineage: Eukaryota; Viridiplantae; Streptophyta; Magnoliopsida; Poales; Poaceae. The transcript is spliced from 2 exons.
AGUCGCGGAUCAAAACGCCACGCCCACUCGCUCUCGCUCUGGGACCAGGAUUUCCGCCACUGAGACUUACGAGUCACUGUACCGCGAGAGGCAGCCAGCGCCGACGUCUCGUUGGCCCCCGCCGCCAAACCAGGAAUUGGUCUUCUGAGAGCAUUUCUACUGGUAGAAAUCAGGAAUUGGAAUUCAAAUAUCUCUCACCGUGGACCGAUCCGCCCGCGUCCGCCUGGUUGCGGAGCCUGGGCUUGGCCGCCGGUCACGGGGGCUAUCUCCCCGGAUCCGCCGCCCCAUCCUCCCGGCGUCCCUGCCGCCCUCGACUCCCUCCCCCGCGCGCAGCCCAUGACUCCCUCCAUCACCGCCGCCCGCAACUCCCUGCACCGUCGCCCCGAUUGCCUCCCCCGAUCUCGGAGUCCGGCCCAUAAGGUGAUUUUUUUUUUCAAAUGAUGUUGCUUGUGAUGUCAAUUUUGCAAAUGGUAGUUAUUGAUGUUGUUGAAUUUUGGAAGUGGAAUGCAAAUGGUAGAUGAAUGGGAGAUGAAUAUAUGCUCAUUGUUGCUAUUGUAUUAUGGAUUUGGUAUGUUUGAUUUGUAAUAUGUUGACAUGUGGAGUUUAAUUGAGGUGAUUUGGGCAAUAGGAUGCGAGUUAGAAAAUUUUAGGGGGCAGUUUUUCUCAUGUUGGUGGAGAGAAAAACUGUGAAGGACAAAAAACUAGGUUUUCUCACUCCUAAAAACCCGUUUUCCUCCUCCAGUUUUUUUUUAUGCUGGUAGAGAUGCUGUAAGCCUGUCGCCAAGCGCUGGUUCACGUCGCGCAAUCUGAAAACAGUUCAACUUGGAAUUUGAGAUACGUUCGGGCGCCGGCAGAUCAAAUUUGAGGUUCAACUAUGAAUCCAGACUUCUGGUGAGACCAAUAGUUAACUCAAAGAGUUCAGGCUAAACUCUGAGUUCUAGCGAGCAAAACUAAAUACUACUACAUCUAUCACCAGCGGUGGUGUAACCAGGAUUUUAAGUCAGGAUGAUCCAAUCGGUAGAAAUUUAUAAAUAUAACAUGCUAAAAUAUUUUUCCGGCCACACAAUAUCAGGUACCCCCAGUGCAUGUCGCAUGCCCUGGUCGCCUACGUGCCAUGUCGCUGAGCUCUCCGCUCGCUAGAGUUCUGAAAUUGGAAAUGAUGAUACACUAUGUUUAAGUAUUUGAGUUGAAAAUGGUGCAAUCAGGAUCAGUGAGAACAUAUGGCUCGUAUAAGAAAAAAAACGCAGCAUUAGAUAAAAAAGGUUGUAGGCUCAAAAGUUAGCAACCUAGACACUGGACGGCUGUUUUUUUUAGAAUGACAGUCUGUCUAGCUUUAGAGUUUACGGAAUAGUAGUUUGUCUAAAGCAACAUAUAAGUUCCUAAACUUCUUUUUUUCCUUGUUCUAUUUAGAAAUAUGUGCGAAACAAUUGCCAUGUCAUACGUGGCUGCAGUGAGUUUCGUGAGCAACCCAACCUCUAUGGUUGAAAGUUGAGUAUCAAGUUUGUUGGUUUAGAGUUAUGGACCAAAAGUGUAGUUGGCUUAAAUAGCUUCUUCUUUUCUCCUUUUUAACACUUAGUUUUAAUUUAUUUUUGCUGAAGUCACCACGUGCAUAGUUGCAAAGUUUGCCUAUGUGUGCUAAUAACAGAUAUUUGAAUGGGCGAAAGUUCUCGGGGAAGCCUUGUUUUUUUCAAUAUGGGCCGCGGAAUCUAUGCAAUAAACCAGAAAAAAGAUACUCCCUCCAUACCGAAUUAACUAACGUGGAUUUGUAUAAAAGUCCAUGUCAGUUAAUUCAGGACGGAAGGAGUAUUUUCCUUCUUCUUGGGAGCAGGGCCUUGCAAGGACAACGACCUAGGUGGAAAUUUGAGGAAGAUCGGACGACCAAGAAUGUCUAGAACGACGAUCGAGAGCGCAGAUGGCAUGAGAAGGACCUAAUCCACUAAAUAAUAAUAUCUCUUGAGUGGACACGUGUGACUGUUCGUGAUGAAGUCCCUCGCGAGAAUACUUUUGCAAAGAUCUGGAUCAAAUACUACAAAAAUGAAAAAAAAAGGCAUAGCAGUCCAGUGAAUGUGAUGCAAGGCCUGCAGCGGUGAUUUUAGAGCAAUCAAAGCGCUGCGAGUCAGCAUGUAAGCUCUUUUAUGAUUAGGUGAAAAUUAUUUGUAGCUGUAAACGUACUAUUGCUUCUCUAUCAUUGUAACGUGUUUCUGGAAGAAAUGAUAAGAAGUAUGCGCUCUAGAUUGUUUGAUGCACUA